This is a non-coding RNA of Meleagris gallopavo (turkey), 510 nucleotides long. The record is from RefSeq and is a predicted model, not a curated record. NCBI's taxonomy places the organism in Eukaryota, Metazoa, Chordata, Aves, Galliformes, Phasianidae.
CUUUGCUAUAGUCAUCAUGUAUAUGAGGAAUCUUAUCACAGCUACCUUUGCCUGCUGCUGAUCUCCAUUUGCACCGAAUAGGUUUAAAAACUCUGAAUUAAUGCUGCAGCUGGUUGUGGGAACAGUUAAUAGGAGAUAAAACGAAGGCAGAGAAGAGAAAAGGGACUCUUUAGGCCUCACUGUACAUAUACAUGUAUGAGGAAAGGAUAGUCAUUAUACCUGAAAACGUCCUGUCACAUUGAUGCCCAAUAAUGGUUGUUUUCUUUUCUUAUGAGAAGUUAAGAAAAUCUCCUGUAAAGCAUUAAGGAUAUUACCUUUGUACUAGAGUGUGUGAGCAGGUAUUCAGCUUUAAGCAUCAGCAUACUUUUCUCUUCAGUGAGAAUAUAUGAAAGAAGUAUUUUGAUGCUGUGUUGUGCAUUUCUGCAUUUCUGUUGGUUCAUACCAACAACCAUCACAAAAUAAACUUCUAGUAUUAUGGUAUAUAUCUCUAGAGAUAUCAAUUAAUCUGUA